CCUUGUCAAAGUCUGAUCUCUUCUGAUCUCAGAAGUUAAGCAAGGC
RNAcentral lists this ribosomal RNA (46 nucleotides) under Periophthalmus magnuspinnatus. The record is from RNAcentral. Lineage: Eukaryota; Metazoa; Chordata; Actinopteri; Gobiiformes; Gobiidae.